UAACGGCUCACCUAAGCGAGGGAUUCGCUUAGCUUGUUCUGGACGCAUUGACCAGUCACAUCAGAAUUACACUAUCGUUCCUAUAGUCCCUACGGGAGGCAGCAUUUGGUGAUAUUGGCACGAUGGGGCGGCAAGGCAUGAUGCAGCCAUUGCUGCGUGUAUGGAUGAGGCCUUUCGGGUUGUUAUAGUACUUUCAGCGGGGAGGGAAGGUGUUGAAGUUUAAUAACCUCAGCAUUUGACGUUACCAGCAGAAGAAGCACGGGCUAACUCCGUGCCAGCAGCCGUGGUAUUAGGGAGUGUGCUAGCGUUUAUCGGAAUUACUGGGCGUAAAGCGCACGCGGGCGGUCUGUCAAGUCGGAUGUGAAAUCCCCGGGCUCAACCUGGGAACUGCAUUCGAAACUGGCAGGCUAGAGUCUUGUAGAGGGGGGUAGAAUUCCAGGUGUAGCGGUGAAAUGCGUAGAGAUCUGGAGGAAUACCGGUGGCGAAGGCGGCCCCCUGGACAAAGACUGACGCUCAGGUGCGAAAGCGUGGGGAGCAAACAGGAUUAGAUACCCUGGUAGUCCACGCCGUAAACGAUGUCGACUUGGAGGUUGUUCCCUUGAGGAGUGGCUUCCGGAGCUAACGCGUUAAGUCGACCGCCUGGGGAGUACGGCCGCAAGGUUAAAACUCAAAUGAAUUGACGGGGGCCCGCACAAGCGGUGGAGCAUGUGGUUUAAUUCGAUGCAACGCGAAGAACCUUACCUACUCUUGACAUCCAGAGAACUUUCCAGAGAUGGAUUGGUGCCUUCGGGAACUCUGAGACAGGUGCUGCAUGGCUGUCGUCAGCUCGUGUUGUGAAAUGUUGGGUUAAGUCCCGCAACGAGCGCAACCCUUAUCCUUUGUUGCCAGCGGUCCGGCCGGGAACUCAAAGGAGACUGCCAGUGAUAAACUGGAGGAAGGUGGGGAUGACGUCAAGUCAUCAUGGCCCUUACGAGUAGGGCUACACACGUGCUACAAUGGCGCAUACAAAGAGAAGCGACCUCGCGAGAGCAAGCGGACCUCAUAAAGUGCGUCGUAGUCCGGAUUGGAGUCUGCAACUCGACUCCAUGAAGUCGGAAUCGCUAGUAAUCGUAGAUCAGAAUGCUACGGUGAAUACGUUCCCGGGCCUUGUACACACCGCCCGUCACACCAUGGGAGUGGGUUGCAAAAGAAGUAGGUAGCUUAACCUUCGGGAGGGCGCUACCACUU
RNAcentral lists this ribosomal RNA (1227 nucleotides) under Enterobacter asburiae. RNAcentral's name for it is "bacterial SSU rRNA". It matches the Rfam family "Bacterial small subunit ribosomal RNA", at positions 258 to 1462 of the family's 1533-position model. Lineage: Bacteria; Pseudomonadati; Pseudomonadota; Gammaproteobacteria; Enterobacterales; Enterobacteriaceae. The record is from RNAcentral.